RNAcentral lists this unclassified non-coding RNA (452 nucleotides) under Hevea brasiliensis (rubber tree). The record is from RNAcentral. Lineage: Eukaryota; Viridiplantae; Streptophyta; Magnoliopsida; Malpighiales; Euphorbiaceae.
AGGCACAUGGUUUGUUGCUCGGAUGGGUACCGACAAUGGUUCUUGCAGGAGUGCUGAUAUUUAUAUCAUCAUUCUCAAUUGGAAUGGGAGCAGUUCCAUGGUUGAUCAUGUCUGAGAUCUUUCCAAUAAAUAUAAAGGGAGUUGGUGGGAGCUUGGUGGUGCUGGUGAACUGGUUAGGUGCCUGGCUAGUUUCUUACACUUUCAACUUUCUCAUGAGCUGGAGUUCUUCAGGUACAUUUUUUCUGUACUCUGGAGUCUCAUUGACAGCCAUUCUAUUUGUGGCCAAGUUUGUGCCAGAAACCAAAGGAAAAACACUAGAAGAAAUUCAAGAAUCUAUCAAUUCAUAGAAAGGGAGAAAGAUCCAGUCUAUUGGUAAUUAGAUUGGAAAUUCUUUUGAAGGCCUUAAAAAUUUUGAUGAUGCAUAGCAGCAAAAGGUCCAGUCUCAAACCCAG